RNAcentral lists this ribosomal RNA (683 nucleotides) under Hebeloma albocolossum. Its description in RNAcentral is "eukaryotic LSU rRNA". Lineage: Eukaryota; Fungi; Basidiomycota; Agaricomycetes; Agaricales; Hymenogastraceae. The record is from RNAcentral.
AAGGUUUCCGUAGGUGAACCUGCGGAAGGAUCAUUAUUGAAUGAACUUGGUGUGGUUGUCGCUGGCCCUCUUGGGGGCAUGUGCACACCUACCAUCCUCAUCUCUCCACCUGUGCACCUCUUGUAGAUUUGGAAUUGAUUAUCCGAGGCAACUCGGUCGUGAGGACUGCUAGCACUUAGCUGGCUUUCUUUGCAAUUCCMGGUCUAUGUUUUUCAUAUACCCCAUUGUAUGUAACAGAAUGUAUCAUUGGGCCUUGUGCCUAUAAACCUUAUACAACUUUCAGCAACGGAUCUCUUGGCUCUCGCAUCGAUGAAGAACGCAGCGAAAUGCGAUAAGUAAUGUGAAUUGCAGAAUUCAGUGAAUCAUCGAAUCUUUGAACGCACCUUGCGCUCCUUGGUAUUCCGAGGAGCAUGCCUGUUUGAGUGUCAUUAAAUUCUCAACCAUUAUCAACUUUUGCUGAUAAUGGCUUGGAUGUGGGGGUCUAUUUUGCUGGCUUCUCAGAUAGUCAGCUCCCCUUAAAUGCAUUAGCCGGUGCCCCGCGUGGACUGUCUAUUGGUGUGAUAAUUAUCUACGCUAUAGACAUCUGCAAUCAUAUGGGUUUGCGCUGCUUCUAACAGUCUGUUGAUUCAGACAAUACAUGACAAUUUGACCUCAAAUCAGGUAGGACUACCCGCUGAACUUAA